UUCAGCAGCCAUAUCACCCUGCAAUUCACAACUGGCAACCCACUGAAGCUAAGCAGGUGUGAGCCUGGUCAGUACCUGGAUGGGAGACCUCUUGGGAAAAACUAAGGUUCCUGCUGGAA
Ribosomal RNA from Lepisosteus oculatus (spotted gar), 119 nucleotides. Lineage: Eukaryota; Metazoa; Chordata; Actinopteri; Semionotiformes; Lepisosteidae. The record is from Ensembl.